RNAcentral lists this ribosomal RNA (597 nucleotides) under Triticum aestivum (bread wheat). Its description in RNAcentral is "partial small subunit ribosomal RNA". The record is from RNAcentral. Lineage: Eukaryota; Viridiplantae; Streptophyta; Magnoliopsida; Poales; Poaceae.
AUGGCUGGCUCCGGCUCAAGCUCGUCCACAACAGGCGAAGGGUGCCCCAUUAUGUGCUCCAUUGCCGAGUGCACUUCCGCAGGGGAGUUGCUUAUGACGAUAAAGAGCCAGUUCACUGGCUCUUCAAAGAUAUAUGCCACCCAAGUGUUAGAGCAACUAGUGACACAACGCUACACAGGUGGUAGUCAUGGAAUAAGAGAGCACAUCCUGAGGAUGAGCAAUAUGGCAGCAAAGCUAAAGCCCAUGGAUGAGGAUCUGGAUAUCAAACCAAAGCUCCUGGUCCACCUAGUCAUGGCUUCACUACCAAAGGAGUUCAAAACUUUUGUUGUAAACUAUAAUAUGUCACCUGGAACAUGGGGCAUUGAAAAGACAAUAGCAAUGUGUGUCCAAGAAGAGGACAGACUCAAAGCCGCACAUGGUGGUUCACUCAACUAUGUGAAGGAUUACAAGAAAAAGAACUACAAUCAAAACAACAAAAGUUCUCCUUCAAAGCAUGGAAAAGCUCCAUAUCAGCAUCAGCAUCAGCAACAAACUUUCUCAGUGGACAAAGACACUUGUCUCCACUGCAAGCAGAAAGGGCAUUACAAGAAAAACUGA